RNAcentral lists this small RNA (161 nucleotides) under Clostridiales bacterium CHKCI001. RNAcentral describes it as "Clostridiales-1 RNA". It matches the Rfam family "Clostridiales-1 RNA". Lineage: Bacteria; Bacillati; Bacillota; Clostridia; Eubacteriales. The record is from Rfam by way of RNAcentral.
UAUAAAAGUGUCAUCAAUGAAUCGAAAGCUAAGGGAUUUAUACCCUAUGCUGAAUGGACAUUUGAUGACUUGAUCUGUACGAGCAAGUAAGGCAUUUGCCUGGAUUGCGAAUACGAUCGGUGAUGUCGAAAGUGCACAGCACGAAGACAUCGACUUUUAUA